AUGGCGGAUGACGCUGGUGCAGUGGGGAGCGGGGAGGGGGCCCGGAGGUCCCAGGAGCCCUGGGAUGGGGAACUGUGGUGGCUUCUACGGAGGUUUUGGCAGUGGUAUCCUGGGCUGAGGUUGCGGCUGUGGCUGGGGCUGGGGCCGUGGCUGCGGAGCUCGCGGAGGCAAAGCCCAGGAUGAGGAGUGGAUGCCUGUCACCAAGUUGGGCUGCCUGGUCAAAGACAUGAAGAUUAAAUCUCUGGAGGAGAUCUGUCUCUUCUCUCUGCCCAUCAAGGAAUCUGAGAUCACUGACUUUUUCCUGGGGGCCUCUCUCAAGGAUGAGGUUUUGAAGAUUAUGCUGGUGCAGAAGACCUGUGCUGGCCAGCACACCAGGUUCAAGGCAUUUGUUGCUAUUGGGGACUACAGUGGUCACGUCGGUCUGGGUGUUUAAGUGCUCCAAGGAGGUGGCCACUGCCAUCCGUGGGGCCAUCAUCCUGGCCAAGCUCUCCAUUGUCCCCGUGUGCAGAGGCUACUGGGGGAACAAGAUGGGCAAGCCCCACACCGUCCCUUGCAAGGUGACAGGCCGCUGUGGCUCUGUGCUGGUGCGCCUCAUCCCCGUGCCCAGGGGCGUCAUCUCAGCACCUGUGCCCAAGAAGCUGCUCAUGAUGGCUGGUAUCGACUGCUGCACCUCAGCCAGGGGCUGCACUGCCACCUUGGGCAACUUUGCCAAGGCCACCUUUGAUGCCAUCUCUAAGACUUACAGCUGCCUGACCCCCGAUCUCUGGAAGGAGACUAUAUUCACCAAGUCUCCCUGUCAGGAAUUCACUGACCACCUCGUCAAGACCCACAGCAGAGUCUCCGUGCAGAGGACCCAAGCUCCAGCUGUGGCUACAACAUAGGGUUUUUAUACAAGAAAAAUAAAGUGAAUUAACAUUGUAAAAACAAAAAAG
This is a non-coding RNA of Saimiri boliviensis boliviensis (Bolivian squirrel monkey), 932 nucleotides long. The record is from RefSeq and is a predicted model, not a curated record. Lineage: Eukaryota; Metazoa; Chordata; Mammalia; Primates; Cebidae.